Molecule: ribosomal RNA, 468 nt
Filed under: uncultured bacterium
Lineage: Bacteria
Description: partial 16S ribosomal RNA
Rfam family: Bacterial small subunit ribosomal RNA
Source: RNAcentral
GACGAACGCUGGCGGCGUGCUUAACACAUGCAAGUCGAACGGAAAGGCCCUGCUUUUGUGGGGUGCUCGAGUGGCGAACGGGUGAGUAACACGUGAGUAACCUGCCCUUGACUUUGGGAUAACUUCAGGAAACUGGGGCUAAUACCGGAUAGGAGCUCCUGCUGCAUGGUGGGGGUUGGAAAGUUUCGGCGGUUGGGGAUGGACUCGCGGCUUAUCAGCUUGUUGGUGGGGUAGUGGCUUACCAAGGCUUUGACGGAUAGCCGGCCUGAGAGGGUGACCGGGCACAUUGGGACUGCGAUACGGCCCAGACGCCUACGGGAGGCAGCAGUGGGGAAUAUUGCACAAUGGGCGGAAGCCUGAUGCAGCAACGCCGCGUGCGGGAUGACGGCCUUCGGGUUGUAAACCGCUUUCGCCUGUGACGAAGCGUGAGUGACGGUAAUGGGUAAAGAAGCACCGGCUAACUACGUG